Molecule: long non-coding RNA, 865 nt
Organism: Paramisgurnus dabryanus
Lineage: Eukaryota; Metazoa; Chordata; Actinopteri; Cypriniformes; Cobitidae
Source: RefSeq, a predicted model, not a curated record
UUGGUCGUAUUUUCCAUCGCCCCUAUCUCAGCCCAAGCGCAGUGGAGGACACCGGGCGCUUCCCUUGUUGUGUUGCACUUAUAGUGUGGUGAGUGAGACUUUGCAAUUAAUAAGCUUUUCACGUUGGAGUGGUGCUGUGUAUUUGCUGUGGGUUGCUGUGUGUCUUGUUAGACGAAGCCCCGCAUCAUCCAUUUCUUCUACUGGGCAGAGGACGGAGAGGCUAACGACCUCAGAAAUUACUGUUACUAUACGUAGUGUGCUGUUUCGGAGUACGAAGGAACGCGGACCAAGAGCUGUCAGUGACUGUGAGUAAAACAUUGGAAAUAUUCGUGGUGUAAACUUACCUGUGUCUGUUUUGUCGCAGAGUCAGAGGCGAAAGGGUCCGCCGCCCCCGCGGUCUCUACAAAGGGGCGCCCCUGUCCAGGAUUUGAUCGGCCUACGGGCAGUGGAGAUAGGGCAGCGCUCGACCCGGUGAGGUGGUGUGUGACCUUCGCCCCUCUGCUGACCUACGGAGGAAACCAUACCUACCCAGAAAGCUGUAAACAGCAGAGCCGCGGCCACCUGUGGAGAGAGAGAAGAACGAGAGUGAAUAAUUGGAGAGCAGACUGUGAACGUGAUACCUACCCAGAGAGCUGUAAGCAGCAGAGCCGGUGAGAAAUACUCGAAGUCCAAGUAACAGUGUCUUUGUGUCUUAGUGGCCGCCUGUGGAGAGAAAGGAAAACGAGAAUGAACAUGAGGAGAAUGGGCCGUGUGAAGAUACAGUGGUGGUGGAGGAGAGCCUAGAGUGGCCAUUAUUUUAAGUUCCCCUUUUCCCCUUCCCUAUUUAAUAUUUUUAAGUAAUUUAAUAAAGGAUAUUUUAAUUUUA